CAGUAGCCGCGGGAAUACGAAGGGGGCUAGCGUUGUUCGGAAUUACUGGGCGUAAAGCGUGCGCAGGCGGUUGUGUAAGACAGGUGUGAAAUCCCCGGGCUUAACCUGGGAACUGCGCUUGUGACUGCACAGCUAGAGUAUGGCAGAGGGGGGUGGAAUUCCACGUGUAGCAGUGAAAUGCAUAGAGAUGUGGAGGAACACCGAUGGCGAAGGCAGCCCCCUGGGCCAAUACUGACGCUCAUGCACGAAAGCGUGGGGAGCCAACAGGAUUAGAUACCCCCGUAGUCCCUGUCUCUUAUAC
RNAcentral lists this ribosomal RNA (301 nucleotides) under uncultured bacterium. RNAcentral describes it as "partial 16S ribosomal RNA". It matches the Rfam family "Bacterial small subunit ribosomal RNA", at positions 509 to 807 of the family's 1533-position model. The record is from RNAcentral.